Molecule: transfer RNA, 73 nt
Filed under: Felis catus (domestic cat)
Lineage: Eukaryota; Metazoa; Chordata; Mammalia; Carnivora; Felidae
Rfam family: tRNA
About the family: Transfer RNA (tRNA) molecules are approximately 80 nucleotides in length. Their secondary structure includes four short double-helical elements and three loops (D, anti-codon, and T loops). Further hydrogen bonds mediate the characteristic L-shaped molecular structure. tRNAs have two regions of fundamental functional importance: the anti-codon, which is responsible for specific mRNA codon recognition, and the 3' end, to which the tRNAs corresponding amino acid is attached (by aminoacyl-tRNA synthetases). tRNAs cope with the degeneracy of the genetic code in two manners: having more than one tRNA (with a specific anti-codon) for a particular amino acid; and 'wobble' base-pairing, i.e. permitting non-standard base-pairing at the 3rd anti-codon position.
Source: Rfam by way of RNAcentral
ACCUGGCUGGCUCAGUUGGUAGAGCACGUGACUCUGGAUCUCAGGGUCAUGAGUUCGAACCCCACGCUGGGUG